GGUUUCGUGGUGUAGUUGGUUAUCAUGUUAGUCUAACACACGAAGGUCUCCAGUUCGAGUCUGGGCGAAGCCA
Solanum pennellii is the source of this 73-nucleotide non-coding RNA. Lineage: Eukaryota; Viridiplantae; Streptophyta; Magnoliopsida; Solanales; Solanaceae. The record is from the annotation of a RefSeq genome assembly.